This 70-nucleotide transfer RNA is filed under the name Loxodonta africana (African savanna elephant). It matches the Rfam family "tRNA". Rfam says of the family: Transfer RNA (tRNA) molecules are approximately 80 nucleotides in length. Their secondary structure includes four short double-helical elements and three loops (D, anti-codon, and T loops). Lineage: Eukaryota; Metazoa; Chordata; Mammalia; Proboscidea; Elephantidae. The record is from Rfam by way of RNAcentral.
GCAGUGGUAGUUCAGUGGUAGAAUUCUUGCCUUCCAUGAGGGAGACCUGGCUUAAUUCCUGGCCAGUGCA